RNAcentral lists this ribosomal RNA (350 nucleotides) under uncultured bacterium. RNAcentral's name for it is "partial 16S ribosomal RNA". It matches the Rfam family "Bacterial small subunit ribosomal RNA", at positions 355 to 697 of the family's 1533-position model. The record is from RNAcentral.
UAGGGAAUCUUCCACAAUGGACGCAAGUCUGAUGGAGCAAGCGCCGCGUGAGUGAAGAAGGCUUUCGGGUCGUAAAACUCUGUUAUUGAAGAAGAACGUGUGUGACAGUAACUGGUCAUGCAGUGACGGUAUUCAAUCAGAAAGUCACGGCUAACUACGUGCCAGCAGCCGCGGUAAUACGUAGGUGGCAAGCGUUGUCCGGAUUUAUUGGGCGUAAAGCGAGUGCAGGCGGUCUUUUAAGUCUGAUGUGAAAGCCUUCGGCUUAACCGAAGAAGGGCAUCGGAAACUGGAGACUUGAGUGCAGAAGAGGAGAGUGGAACUCCAUGUGUAGCGGUGAAAUGCGUAGAUAU